GUAGGUGAACCUGCGGAAGGAUCAUUAACACGUGAUACUCACGUAUUAAACACCCACCGAGAAUUUGUUAUUAUCCUAGUUUAAGAUGCAGGUAGACGAAGUGAGGGAAUGCUAUUGGUUGUAACAAACCAUAACUCAUUAGUCGUUCUUAGGUCCGCCCUGGAGCUUGCGCUGACAACUAGUUGACGAGUUACGACUGCUUAUUAAGCCUGUAGCAUAGCUUGCAGAUCGUAAUGACCUUAUUAACCCCUUUUACUAUUAUUUACUGAUUUGUACGUUUAUAUGAAUUCCUGACUGAAAGGUUGGUUGUAGUUUAUAUAGAUGUCGUAUAUUACUAAUACGAAACAACUCUUAGCAACGGAUAUCUUGGUUCUC
Molecule: unclassified non-coding RNA, 375 nt
Filed under: rhizosphere metagenome
Description: partial ribosomal RNA internal transcribed spacer region
Source: RNAcentral